GGUUGUGGCUCAGUGGCAGAGUGCUUGCCUAGCAUGUGCGAGGCACUGGGUUCGAUUCUUAGAACCA
Molecule: transfer RNA, 67 nt
Filed under: Marmota monax (woodchuck)
Lineage: Eukaryota; Metazoa; Chordata; Mammalia; Rodentia; Sciuridae
Description: tRNA.Ala
Source: RNAcentral